Molecule: RNA transcript, 1232 nt
Organism: Zalophus californianus (California sea lion)
Lineage: Eukaryota; Metazoa; Chordata; Mammalia; Carnivora; Otariidae
Gene name: RAD52 motif-containing protein 1-like
Exons: 3
Source: RefSeq, a predicted model, not a curated record
CCGUAUGUCCCCCUCACACCCCCCGUGACUGGGAGCCCUGGAGUCUGGCCUUGGCAUCUCACGCGCCUGGUAGUCUCCGCGGAGAGGAAUCUUAUUUCUAGAGGGGACCUCAGCAGUCUUGUCAGCCCCAACAGAUUUCUGAGAGCAUUCUCUGUUCACAGUAUUCUCCCAGUUUGGCCUUCUGUAUUCGGUCCGCGUCUUCCCAAACGCUGCAGUUGCCCGUCCUGGUUUCUAUGCCAUCAUCAAGUUUUAUUCAGCAAGGGAUGCUCACAGAGCUCAAACGGCAUGCCACGAGAAGCAUCUUUUUCAGAAUUCUCCAGUGAAGAAAGUGGUAAAAUAGCUGUGGAAUAUAGACCCUGUGAAGAGAUUACAGAUGCCAGAACCGAAGAGGAGCUACAGGAUUUAAUUCAAGUAUGUGGAGAUUAGAGCUCGAGGGUUCCACAGCCAGUGUAGCCAUAAUUUAAAGCAACCGGCAGGAUUUGGAAGACUUUGGCACGUACAGUUCGCUCUAUCAUCCUUUGGGAAAUGUAAAACUCUGAAACUGCUUUUGAGUGCAGAGAGUUUCUGGGGCUUUUCCUGAAGUCCUGGCCCUUGGCUCUGACCCCUUAUUUAAAAUUUGGAGAGCAAAUUGCAUCAGAACACUCCCACUGUUGUGGACAUAGGAGAGGACACAGCCUUUUAGAGCUCCCCUCAAACAGAAUCUCAGGGAUUUGGGAACAGAGUAACUCUGACCUUAAGUGAGAUUAUGCUACAGUGUUUGAAAACCAUUAGGCCUUUCAAAUAAGGUGUAUUACCCAGAUGUCAGCAUCUCAUACAUAUCUUGUAUGAAAUAUUUUACUGAAGAACUUUUCUGUAAAUCACUUCUAUCAAUGCCCUGAAUUAGGGAUUAAGUUGCCAAAGUAAUUUCUAAAAGAAGAUAUUAACGUACUGCAUAUAGAAUGUUUAAAAAAAAAAGAGGAGAAAAGAAUGUGUUUCGUGUCAUUGAAAACUGAAUUUGGGGCUGGAUUUCUGAUGAUUUAACUCACUCCAAAGUUGCAAAGUUUGUUUGUUUUGAAGGGAAGAGUGGAGAAAGGAAAGAUGGUUACUUUCUGAAAAAGUAUUUGAAGGUUUUUUUUGUGCAAAAUAGUUAUUUUAAUUCAAUUUAAAUCAAGCCAGUCAAGGGAACUUCAGACUUACCCAAGUUUACACUUUAAGAAGUCUAGCUUUCUGUGAAAUGUGAGAGAAAGAGAUUC